AUUUUAAAACAUUUAAUAUCUCCUAAAAAUAAAAUAAAAAAAUUGUUUUAAAAUCCUUUAACACAGCUUUUUCAUCUCAAUAACCCUAGCCCCUCGUCAUCUCAAUAACCCUAGCCCCUCGUCUUUGUCUUUCUUCGAUCUGUAGACAGAACAUCCCUACUAAUAUAAUAGCUCGUUAAUCGUUUUUUAGUUCUAGUUCACAAGACACACAACUACAGGUGUAGAUUAAAAUUGCAUAAGGCCGUCCACCUCCAGCCACCCCGUCGUUUGACUCCUUCCCUCUGCCGACUCAUCUGUAGCGAUCGAUUGUCAUCAUCCCACAACUGCAACUUCUUCCUACUCUCUCUCCACCGGCGGCUCCAUCAUCCAUCGCCAAAAUCGGUUUAUAGCUUUUGUCGGACAACAAAAUCCUAGUCCCUGUAUGUUCUAGAAAUCAAUUUCUGAUUUUAAACCUAAUUUAUGAUUUUGCAAUCAAAUUGCUUUUGAGAAUGACAUGCUAAUCGAUUUCCAAUUCUGCACUAUUUGUGAUGUUUUUGAAUUUCGAUUUUGAUUGGUCAAAUGGUCAUCACCAAUAUACAAAAACAUACCAAAAGUCAUCGCUCAAAAAGGGGCAUUACAUAUGUUAGCCGAUGGAGCUAAAUGUAUUCACUCAGAAUUACAUUCUUCCAUAAUCUCAUUCUCAUAGAAUCUUAUUGUUGUAAGAAUGAUUUGUUAAAAUUUACUAUUUUUCUAUUAUAUAAAAAUUUCAACAUUGUUAAAUUGCAAAUUGUUGGUUUGUUAAGUUUCAUCAUCUGGGAAUAUGAUUGCAUGUUGCAAGUACCUUGCUUUUAAUUCUUUAAAGUGGCAAUUAAAGCUCUAACUAGCAGAAUGUAUUGUAUGUAUUCUGUUCGAAUGUAUUCUAUAUAUUCUGUCAGAAUGUAUAAAGUGAUAGAAAUUGCAAGUAA
Molecule: long non-coding RNA, 944 nt
Organism: Lactuca sativa (garden lettuce)
Lineage: Eukaryota; Viridiplantae; Streptophyta; Magnoliopsida; Asterales; Asteraceae
Source: RefSeq, a predicted model, not a curated record